Molecule: ribosomal RNA, 441 nt
Filed under: uncultured bacterium
Lineage: Bacteria
Description: bacterial SSU rRNA
Rfam family: Bacterial small subunit ribosomal RNA
Source: RNAcentral
AACGCGAAGAACCUUACCAGCCCUUGACAUGGGGAGUUUGGGUAUCAGAGAUGGUACCCUUCAGUUCGGCUGGCUCCCACACAGGUGCUGCAUGGCUGUCGUCAGCUCGUGUCGUGAGAUGUUGGGUUAAGUCCCGCAACGAGCGCAACCCUCAUCGUCAGUUGCCAUCAUUUAGUUGGGCACUCUGACGAAACUGCCGGUGACAAGCCGGAGGAAGGCGGGGAUGACGUCAAGUCCUCAUGGCCCUUAUGGGCUGGGCUACACACGUGCUACAAUGGCGGUGACAGUGGGGUGCAAGACCGCGAGGUGGAGCAAAUCCCAAAAAGCCGUCUCAGUUCAGAUUGCACUCUGCAACUCGAGUGCAUGAAGGUGGAAUCGCUAGUAAUCGUGGAUCAGCAUGCCACGGUGAAUACGUUCCCGGGCCUUGUAACACCGCUCGUC